RNAcentral lists this long non-coding RNA (1203 nucleotides) under Physcomitrium patens. RNAcentral's name for it is "long non-coding RNA (PPAT_LNC013229)". Lineage: Eukaryota; Viridiplantae; Streptophyta; Bryopsida; Funariales; Funariaceae. The record is from RNAcentral.
UGUCCAUAUUAGAAAAAAAAACGUAAUAUUUUAAUAUAUGCACACACAUACAAACAGAUGAACCAGUAUUUAAAAGAAACAGUAAAAAUGUUAAAAUGGUAUGCAAGAUAUAAUUUCAGACUAAGAUAAUUUUUUUCUAUUUAAUUUAGUCCAGUAUUCAUCUCAAAUUUGGAGUUUGCUCAACUAAAGAUUCUUCAGAAAGCCCCAUCUCAUGAAAUCAACUUCUUUUAUGUCACCUUCCAGUAUAUUCCAAAAAUCAUAGAGACAUGGCCAGAAACAAAACAUUCCUCAGAACAACAGGACUGUGAUAUUUGUUUCAUUGUCUAUUUUAUAGAAAUUUGUUGACUAUAAUUAUUUUGUGUUGUGUUUUUGAGUGCCUGCAGUUGGUUGGCUUAAUUAGAACCCAAGGCGAAAAGGAAGAGAAUAGAUUAAGGAGCAACAAUUACCUGAUCAAAUUUUAAACGAAAUUCCUAAAUUGUUGCAAUUGCAAAAUAAUCAGACAUUUAAAUUUUAACAAAGUGGAAAAUCAAUAGAUAUAUAUAUAUAUAUAUAUAUAUAUAUAUAUAAAAGGGAACAGAAUGUCACAAACAUACAAAUUGGAUUUGUACAGUUGAAGGAUGAACCUUUGAAUGAAUUCCACUUGUGUUAUCCUCAGUAACCAUCAAAAAGAUGAUUUAAUAAUACCUCCCUUGUGUCUCAAAAAACCUUCUUCCGGUUGAGGAUUUUGUGAGUCUCACCCUCAAAAGAUGUGGGAAAGCUCAUUCUACUCAACUAUGUUAUCGAAGAAAAUUUUAUGCCUUGCUUCAGAAUUUGAGCAGAACCUGAAAAAUGCCUGGUUUCAGACCUUUACUUUAUUAUUAUUAUUUUAAAUAUUUAUGUAUGUAUUUAUUAAUUUAUUAAUUUAAUAUUUUAUUGUUUAGGUCUAUUGUGUUGAAGGGAUUAGGCAUGUUGAAAGGUCAAUAAAGGUGACGAUGCGAUCAAUGGUAAAAUUGAAUAACGUUAAUAGCAAAUGAGCUGAUUGAUCACUGGAUGAAUGGAUGGACGGAUGAAAGUCGUGGUGCAUGUGUACAUCCAUCCAUUAAAUAUAUUAUCUUUUCAAAAGGCUAUAGUGAGGAUAUGAAUUCUAGAUUCUUCCUCACCAUGCCACUCACAAGAUUCAUUUUAAUAGUUUUCUAUGAAGGGCUUUUUCCCAAUCUAUUUAUC